Molecule: long non-coding RNA, 1317 nt
Organism: Planococcus citri (citrus mealybug)
Lineage: Eukaryota; Metazoa; Arthropoda; Insecta; Hemiptera; Pseudococcidae
Exons: 8
Source: RefSeq, a predicted model, not a curated record
CAGCGUCGUUGCUCAGCCUAUUCUAUCGUGUCGGAAUUUCGCAUCGGAUUGGAAUCCUACAUUACUCCUCAGGUAUUUCCAUGUACCACGAAUCGGAAAUCAGUUCUCAAGUCAAAACAUCAAGAGCUAUUACUCUUCGUAGGUACCCAACCUACCUCUAGAGUCGAGAGUCAAACGUCGUCGUAACAUAUAAACCUCUCUUUCGCUAAGAGACAAGAUCAACUUCCGUCACUCGAUUAUAAGAGUACCUGUGUACCUACAACGACGUUGGGUUUCGUUUUCGAUACUAUUUUUUCCACCUUUGACUUCGAGGACUCGAAGUUGAUGAAAAUAAACACUUUGAGGUGAAUUCACGUUGGACGAUUUGCUCGUUUUGAGAUGGCCGGACCUAAUGUUAUCAAUCAGCUUUUCCGGAUACGCAGUUCCGCCCAUCGCCUUUGGAACGUUGACAAUGAAUGCUGAUUUUUCUAUACCUUUUUUCUUCGGAAACCUUUUCACCGUACCGAUAUUUACUUAUGGUUUUUCAUGGUUCGAAUUCGGAAAAACCCCGUGGGCCUGGGGCUGAUUCUAAAUAUUCAUCGUGUUAAUAGGAUUGGCAAAUCAAAAUUCCUCGACCGUGUUACGAAUGACCACUGGACUAUCUACAGCAUCUCGUGUCUUAAAAUCAGCCAUUCAACUAUUCGAACUCAUCUCCAGAGUUUAUGCUGCUGUUGAACAGGAAAGGACACCAGAUUAAGCUCGAAUUACACGAAAUUAAUCGUUCACGUGCUGUAUUCAUGGGUCGUUGGAUAUACCUACAUCAUUUUAUAUCGGUGGUCUGUGCAACGUGAGCUGAACAAACUGCCGGAUGAAGUGAAGUAGAAUCUCGGCAAAUGAGACCACUCUCGUGUCUGUUAUCAUCCAAGCUGGAUUGGUCAAUGAGGAAAAGAUUCCAACCUAUUCGUGGAAAAUGAAAACAAUCAAACUGAUCUACCUACCUACAAUGUGUUUAGAAAAUUUGUAGCGUGAAAAAGGUUAUUAUGUAUUACGAAUUGCUGAGUUCUUUUCACCCUCUGGAACGGUGGAAUAUAAGUUAUCAAGUGUAUCUAACCUGCGACCUACCAAUAAGACCAGCGAUGCGGAAAUAAAACAGAGUCAUUGGAAUAUAUUGGAAGAUGAUUUCAGCCGAUGUUUCGAAAGUUUCGACCUCGUUUGAAGGUAAGAUAUUAUUUUGAAUAAUCCUCGAAUAAUUACGAUUGGACAGGGCCGGGCUGACUCUUUGAAAAAAAGAGUUGGGUAAACUUUUUCCAAACUAAGCUUUUUUUAAAAAAGAGUCAA